RNAcentral lists this ribosomal RNA (1448 nucleotides) under Weissella confusa. RNAcentral describes it as "bacterial SSU rRNA". It matches the Rfam family "Bacterial small subunit ribosomal RNA". Lineage: Bacteria; Bacillati; Bacillota; Bacilli; Lactobacillales; Lactobacillaceae. The record is from RNAcentral.
UACAUGCAAGUCGAACGCUUUGUGGUUCAACUGAUUUGAAGAGCUUGCUCAGAUAUGACGAUGGACAUUGCAAAGAGUGGCGAACGGGUGAGUAACACGUGGGAAACCUACCUCUUAGCAGGGGAUAACAUUUGGAAACAGAUGCUAAUACCGUAUAACAAUGACAACCGCAUGGUUGUUAUUUAAAAGAUGGUUCUGCUAUCACUAAGAGAUGGUCCCGCGGUGCAUUAGCUAGUUGGUAAGGUAAUGGCUUACCAAGGCGAUGAUGCAUAGCCGAGUUGAGAGACUGAUCGGCCACAAUGGGACUGAGACACGGCCCAUACUCCUACGGGAGGCAGCAGUAGGGAAUCUUCCACAAUGGGCGAAAGCCUGAUGGAGCAACGCCGCGUGUGUGAUGAAGGGUUUCGGCUCGUAAAACACUGUUGUAAGAGAAGAAUGACAUUGAGAGUAACUGUUCAAUGUGUGACGGUAUCUUACCAGAAAGGAACGGCUAAAUACGUGCCAGCAGCCGCGGUAAUACGUAUGUUCCAAGCGUUAUCCGGAUUUAUUGGGCGUAAAGCGAGCGCAGACGGUUAUUUAAGUCUGAAGUGAAAGCCCUCAGCUCAACUGAGGAAUUGCUUUGGAAACUGGAUGACUUGAGUGCAGUAGAGGAAAGUGGAACUCCAUGUGUAGCGGUGAAAUGCGUAGAUAUAUGGAAGAACACCAGUGGCGAAGGCGGCUUUCUGGACUGUAACUGACGUUGAGGCUCGAAAGUGUGGGUAGCAAACAGGAUUAGAUACCCUGGUAGUCCACACCGUAAACGAUGAGUGCUAGGUGUUUGAGGGUUUCCGCCCUUAAGUGCCGCAGCUAACGCAUUAAGCACUCCGCCUGGGGAGUACGACCGCAAGGUUGAAACUCAAAGGAAUUGACGGGGACCCGCACAAGCGGUGGAGCAUGUGGUUUAAUUCGAAGCAACGCGAAGAACCUUACCAGGUCUUGACAUCCCUUGACAACUCCAGAGAUGGAGCGUUCCCUUCGGGGACAAGGUGACAGGUGGUGCAUGGUUGUCGUCAGCUCGUGUCGUGAGAUGUUGGGUUAAGUCCCGCAACGAGCGCAACCCUUAUUACUAGUUGCCAGCAUUCAGUUGGGCACUCUAGUGAGACUGCCGGUGACAAACCGGAGGAAGGUGGGGAUGACGUCAAAUCAUCAUGCCCCUUAUGACCUGGGCUACACACGUGCUACAAUGGCGUAUACAACGAGUUGCCAACCCGCGAGGGUGAGCUAAUCUCUUAAAGUACGUCUCAGUUCGGAUUGUAGGCUGCAACUCGCCUACAUGAAGUCGGAAUCGCUAGUAAUCGCGGAUCAGCACGCCGCGGUGAAUACGUUCCCGGGUCUUGUACACACCGCCCGUCACACCAUGAGAGUUUGUAACACCCAAAGCCGGUGGGGUAACCUUCGGGAGCCAGCCG